GUGGUUGUGGCUCAGUGGUAGAGUGCUUGCCCAGUAUGCAUGAGGCACUGGGUUCAAUCCCUGGCACCACA
RNAcentral lists this transfer RNA (71 nucleotides) under Ictidomys tridecemlineatus (thirteen-lined ground squirrel). RNAcentral describes it as "Spermophilus tridecemlineatus (thirteen-lined ground squirrel) tRNA". It matches the Rfam family "tRNA". From Rfam's summary of the family: Transfer RNA (tRNA) molecules are approximately 80 nucleotides in length. The record is from Rfam by way of RNAcentral. RNAcentral also lists the same sequence under 1 other name. Lineage: Eukaryota; Metazoa; Chordata; Mammalia; Rodentia; Sciuridae.